Molecule: ribosomal RNA, 340 nt
Filed under: uncultured Anaerolineaceae bacterium
Lineage: Bacteria; Bacillati; Chloroflexota; Anaerolineae; Anaerolineales; Anaerolineaceae
Description: bacterial SSU rRNA
Rfam family: Bacterial small subunit ribosomal RNA
Source: RNAcentral
CGUGUACAGGUGCUGCAUGGCUGUCGUCAGCUCGUGUCGUGAGAUGUUCGGUUAAGUCCGCUAACGAGCGCAACCCUCGCUGUGUGUUACAAGUGUCACACGGAACUGCCGGUCAUAAACCGGAGGAAGGUGGGAUGACGUCAAGUCAGCAUGGCCUUUAUAUCCUGGGCUACACACACGCUACAAUGGGAAGGGACAAUAGGUUGCGAAGCCGCGAGGCGGAGCCAAUCCAGCAAAACUUCCCUCAGUUCAGAUUGCAGGCUGCAACUCGCCUGCAUGAAGUUGGAGUUGCUAGUAAACGCAGGUCAGCCAUACUGCGUUGAAUACGUUCCCGGGGCUU